CCUUUCCCAUUUGGUCUCUCUUCUCAGCAACUUUACCUCCUUACCUCUCUUUGACCUCCUUUCCUCUCCUUCACAGUUUGGCCCUUGACUUCGGGGCCUUCUUACCUUUCUUUACCUGAAAUGAUCUGCCCCUUACCCGGGUCUCCUUCACACCCUUCUCUCUGGUCCUAACCCUUCUGCGGCCAAGCCCAGCAUAGCUCCCCGGCUCGGCCUGGUCAGCUUGAGCUGUAUUUUGUUCGAGUGCCCCUGGCCUAGGAAAGGAGUGUGUAGUGUAAAGUGGGGCCAAGUGUCCCCCCGGGCUGGGGCCACUGCCUCGCCCCCUCCGCCCCUCCCGAGUCCCGGUUGCGGCGCUUCCUGGGCGGAUGGUUUGGACUUGCUGCAGCAGCUGCGGUUCUGCUGUGUCAUGCAAGAAGGAGGCGGCGGCGGCCGGAGCUGGAGUGGGAGGAGGGGAGGAACCUGAUCCUCCGGUAGCGAAGGGCUGGAGGCAAACACCGAGCUCCCCCAGAGCCGCCCGGGAGCAGGGAGGGCUCCGCUACCCCGAGGGGCCCUCCCCUAGGGGCCGAGGGUCCUGAGUGAUGACAAAAAGAGCAAUUUGCUUUCCCUCGUCUAUCCGAUCCCAUCACACCACCCUGAAUCAGUUGAUGGAAUCUGGGGAAUCCAUUUCCAUGCCCUAAAUUCUGUAAGAACCUCUUACAGAAGCCACCAGCUUCUCAGUUUGUUAUUGACUCUGCAUAAAGGUGUUGGCUGCUAUCAGCAGAAGCCAUAAAGAAUAUCACAGAGAAAAAGGUUGACUUGGUUGGGAGAACAUGGAAAUCUACAACAAAGUGUCCUUGAAGUAGAAAUUUUAGAAACUAAAAUAAUACAUGUACUUUAAGCGAUACUAAAAAUGCUGUGACAUCCUGUGUUAUUUAGUUAGACCAGAGGACAGCAAACAUUUUCUAUAAAGAGCCAGACAGGAAGUAUUUUAGGCUUUCCUGGCCAUGCAGUCUUUCUCAAUUACUCCAUUCUGCCACUAUAGUGAGAAAAUAGCCAUAGUGAUAGGUAAAUGAGCAAGCCAGUUGUUUCAAUAAAACUUUAUUCAAGUACA
Molecule: long non-coding RNA, 1087 nt
Filed under: Urocitellus parryii (Arctic ground squirrel)
Lineage: Eukaryota; Metazoa; Chordata; Mammalia; Rodentia; Sciuridae
Description: lncRNA (ENSUPAG00010002869.1)
Source: RNAcentral